CAGAGGGUGCGAGCGUUAAUCGGAUUUACUGGGCGUAAAGCGUGUGUAGGUGGUCAGGAAAGUCGGUUGUGAAAUCCCCGGGCUCAACUCGGGAACUGCUUCCGAUACUUCUUGACUCGAAUUCGGUAGAGGGAGGCGGAACUCCAGGUGUAGCGGUGAAAUGCGUAGAUAUCUGGAAGAACACCAAUGGCGAAGGCAACCCCCUGGGCCUGAAUUGACACUGAGACACGAAAGCGUGGGGAUCAAACAGGAUUAGAUACCCUGGUAGUCCACGCCUUAAACGAUGGAAACUUGACGUCGGUUUGCUCUGCGAAUCGGUGUCGUAGCUAACGCGAUAAGUUUCCCGCCUGGGGAGUACGGCCGCAAGGUUG
Molecule: ribosomal RNA, 371 nt
Filed under: uncultured organism
Description: bacterial SSU rRNA
Rfam family: Bacterial small subunit ribosomal RNA
Source: RNAcentral